GGGUGGACAUGUGCUUGUCUCCGCGCGGCUGCUCUGAACCCGGUGGCCCGCAACCACAGGUCCUGCCCUUCCAGAAGCCCACGUCUGGCUCGGAGACUCCAUACCCACAAAGGGCCCAUGCCCCUCUCCGUAAUGGAGAGCGUGCUGUUGUCGGGGCCCAUCAGGACGCGCUCCUCCUCCUCCUCCCUAGCCAGCUCCUGCUGCUCCAAUCUCUGCAGUUUCUCAUCUGUCCCUCUCCCUCCAGUUUUUAAGAAUUACUUUUUCUGCCAUAUUCAUUAGUCAAAGAGACGGUGCAUUUCUAGUCUGUUCCCGCAAUGCUAAGCAAUGUGAGUUCAGUGUCUGCCCGCGCAUGUGGCACUUAGCUCCAACUGUCCUUUUUCUUCUAAAAUGUGACUCAGCCAGACAGAACACACCCUGCUCAGUACUCUGGAAACCCCGUGCCUGCUCCGCCUGCCCGAGCCAGUCUCCCAGGGAGCUCCGACCUCCCCCAUCCCUGGCCUCCACCCCACGGCUCCUCUCGGCGCUCAUGGGCUGCGCUGUCAGGGCAGGCCACCCCACCGCGAGAGGCUGGCGGUCUGGACAUGGGGGAGACUGCGCCCAUUCUCUGGGUUUGCAUGGCACCGUCGACUGGCAGCCAAGGUGAUCCUGCCCAUAGGUGUCCUCGGGCCUCCACCACGGAGGCACUGUCCUGGCCUCAAGGCUGAACCCAGACUGGCGAUGGACUGGGAGGGGCGCUCGCUGCUUCUGGCCGGUUCCCAACAUCCGAAGCUCCUCUUUAGGCCAGAUGAUUGCUUUCGUCCCCUGGGAAGAGUUUCCUAUAAGCCUCUCAGAAACUCGACUCUACCAUUUUCUUUUAAACUUUGCUCAAGACUCGAGACCGAUUUGUCUUCAUAGAGAGAAGCCUUCCCGAGUUUCCAUGGUGGCCACCCUAGCGUCUGACGGGGUUCUUGCCCCCUCUGCCAUCUGACUCCCGCGUCUGGCUCCCCUCCUUUAGGACUCUCCCGUGUGUGCGGGAACAUGUAUCUGGGGGUGCAGGCAGGUGCAUGAAGUGAAUUGAGACCUUGCUUAUCUGAACACGCCUUAAUCUGAUUUUACACCUGGUUGAUAAUCGGGCUAGAAUUAGAAAUACUGAUCCUUGAGAAUUUUGAAGGCCCCGUUCUUGUGCCCUUUCACACCCGGAAUGGCUGGGUAUUUGGGGAAGCUGGGCUGGGAAGACGGGAGGAAGUGCAAGCUAACAGACACUGGGCGGGCCGUGAAGCGGGUGCUGUGGAGCCUCGGGAAGAAGCUCGGCACCCAGGGCCGCCAGAGGGUGUCAGGCGGGGCUCGCUGCUCGGAAGCAGCUGCUAGGUGAGAGAGAGCAGGUGGCAUUGCCCCGGGGGUGGUGGGUACAGAGAGAAGGGGCCCCAUGAAGCAACAUUGUCAUGGAGCUGUGACUCGUCCUUACCAGUGACUGCAGGGUGACAGCAGGGUGGAGCAGGGAGCUGCAGGAGAGCAGCAGGGACACAGCACCCACAGCACUGGGGCGUCCACCCUGAGGCACUUCUGUGUCAGCUCAGCCCGGGCAGGUGCUGCCCACCAUGUCAGGGCCUGGGGCCUCCAAGUGCUGUCCUGGCUCUCAGCCGAUGCCAUGGUAGAACAGGCACCCCAGUCUCAGACGGCUCCUGUGCACAGGGCGGGAGGGAGCUGCGACGUGUUCAGCAUCUAGGGAGGUCAAGCCUCCAGCAUGCACGGAGGAUUCUGGGAACCCUCUUGGUCCUGGGGUCCAUCUGUAAAAAGACCCAGGUGAAGUCGUGUUGGCUGUCGCCUGGAAGGCUCCCUGCAGCUGUGUGCCACCAAGCUGUGCCUCGGGUCUCUGAGCAUCCCCGGCUGGACCUGGGCCUUCCCUGGCUCUUGUCCUGCUCAUGGCACAGGGGACGGGGCCUGGGCAGCGCCCUCCGAGCCUCUCAGCCAGCCUCCUCACACAUGUGCCUGUCUGCUGUGAUGGCUUAGUCAGCCAGCCAGACAGAGGCCAUCCCUGUCAGGGUCAGCUUCCCAGCAAACAGCCAUCACCCAAUGGAAGGAAACGGCCCACAGGGAGCAAACAGCAGAAACCCAUCAGCCUCCGGGGCUCUUACAAGUGUCUGGUAGCAAGAUGAAGAUUUGACCUCGAAUGGUCGGAAGAGAACGAGAAGCAGGGGCAUGCUUAGCAUUUUCUGACGACACGUACCAGUGUUAUUCAGGCAAGACCUUCGUAUCUGCAAAGAGGAUCCUAUGACUAGAGAUAAAGAGACUCGGUCUAUGGCCAGCGUCUUCCCGGUGUCACAGGCUGGCAGCCACCAGCGUAAAGACCCAGAGGAACAAAAAGAAUCAGAAUGUCGACCACGAUCAGUGUCUCCCCCAGGAGGGAAAGAAAAUAUGUCUUUGUGAUAGGUUGCUCAUUUAACUGUAAUGUCCUAUUCUUAAGCAAUGCAGCCGUGAGAUGGGAGGUGUGGGAAGGGAAGGAAAGGAAGACCACCCGCAGCCCUGACAUCCUCGUACACUUGUUUCUGUUUUACCUCCUGCCACAUUUGAGUCUCAGUUGUGUGCUGUGCACAGGUCUAAGCAGAGCUCGUGUAAUUUUUCCUUUUUAUUUAUUUCUGGAGAGUCUAUUUU
This is a long non-coding RNA of Tupaia belangeri chinensis (Chinese tree shrew), 2631 nucleotides long. RefSeq lists it as uncharacterized. The record is from RefSeq and is a predicted model, not a curated record. The transcript has 2 exons. NCBI's taxonomy places the organism in Eukaryota, Metazoa, Chordata, Mammalia, Scandentia, Tupaiidae.